This 275-nucleotide long non-coding RNA is filed under the name Mytilus galloprovincialis (Mediterranean mussel). Lineage: Eukaryota; Metazoa; Mollusca; Bivalvia; Mytilida; Mytilidae. The record is from RNAcentral.
CUUAUUAUGGCACCCUCAACGGAGUUGGGGUGACGUAUUGUUAUUCUACGUUUCUUUUUUUUCUUAUUAUUAUGUCACCCGAUCGACAAUGUCGGGUGACAUAUUGCUUUUCCUCUGUUUCUUUACUAUUAUUAUUAUUAUUCUUCCAAUGAUUUUGUCCGGCAGUUUUCUUGAAGACAAUGGAACCAAUCUUAAUGAUAGUUGACUAUAAUGAGGAACACAAAAUUCCGGGUUGCAGUAGGUCAUAAGACCAUUAAAAAUGGCUGCCGUUACCA